CCCAAUAGUCAAACCACAACAUAAAUUCUACAAGCUUCAAAAUCAAAUAAUAUAAACUCAAUUUCCUCUGCAAAAUUAUACAAACCCAGCAUAAAUUUAUUAACAAUACAAACUUAGAUUGGGUUCUGCCCAUGAAAUCCCCUUUCAAUGCUGACUUCACAUCCAUCAUAUACCUUCAUGUGGAUCUCCAAUCACAUCCUCAACUUGCAAAGCCACCAAUGAUGCCUUCUCUCAUCUGGCAUGAAACAGCCGAGCUUAGGGUUUAUCCAGGUUCAAUAAAUCAUGAAAGAGAUGAGACAUUCUUCU
Molecule: unclassified non-coding RNA, 306 nt
Filed under: Hevea brasiliensis (rubber tree)
Lineage: Eukaryota; Viridiplantae; Streptophyta; Magnoliopsida; Malpighiales; Euphorbiaceae
Source: RNAcentral